Long non-coding RNA from Physella acuta, 3624 nucleotides. RefSeq lists it as uncharacterized. Lineage: Eukaryota; Metazoa; Mollusca; Gastropoda; Physidae. The record is from RefSeq and is a predicted model, not a curated record.
CAUCAGAUGGCUGCCAGGUUGGCCAUCAGAUGGCUGCCAGGUUGGCCAUCAGAUGGCUGCCAGGUUGGCCAUCAGAUGGCUGCCAGGUUGGCCAUUAUGUUGCACAGGCCAACAAAUAUUUGUUAUUAAAAUUAUUUUAUAAAUUUAAAAAUGUAUAUUAAGCUAAAGUUAUGCCCUAAUGUGAUUAAUUAAACAAUGUGUCAAGUUUUUAGACCAGUCCAAAGAUGGAAUCUAUACAUGAUUGAUUUAGUUUAAAUGAACAAUAUAUACUUAAGUGGUUUAGGAUGAGACUCUACUUAAGGAAUUCCAUUACACCUAAAAGCUGAUUCUUGUCUGGUUGCUUGUGUUAUGAAUCUCAUGUGUUGACUAGUCAAGCUGGCUACUUUUUCUAGUGUUUUCAAUAGCCAUGACAAUAUAACAGUCUACUGUUUUUGCUAUUCAUCUUAGCAAUAUUGUUAGCUUCAUGUGUGCAUUUAGUUUCUUACUGCCAAAAGUUGUUUAGAUAAACAGUCAGUGUUACUGUUGUUGUUCAAUUCAAAGUCUUUCCUCAUUCAUAUCACUGUAUUCAAGUUGUCAUACGUCUGUGUGUAGACUGUCCAGCCUCCCCCAUUCAAGUUGUCAUACAUCUGUGUGUAGACUGUCCAGCCUCCCCCAUUCAAGUUGUCAUACAUCUGUAUGUAGACUGUCCAGCCUCCCCCAUUCAAGUUGUCAUACAUCUGUGUGUAGACUGUCCAGCCUCCCCCAUUCAAGUUGUCAUACAUCUGUGUGUAGACUGUCCAGCCUCCCCCAUUCUCAAUCAAUGCUUGCCUGACAUAACAGCAUGUACACAAGCAUGAGGACAGUCACACACACACAGCUCAAUCAGAUAAACACACACACACACCCACAACCAAUCCCACACAUUCAUGUCUGCUCUUUAUCUAGUGGUUUGUUUUUUAAGUAUGAAAUGUAUUUUAUUUCACUUGACUGCAUAUCUUAGUCAAACUCAUUUUGAACCCUUUUUUUAAGAAUCUCUUUUUAUUACUUUUGGUUUUAUUAACUGUUGUUUUUUUGACAAGAAUGUUGGAACAAAUUGAGAUUGAGUAAUGCCAUUUUUUAAGCCCUAGUCAACCUUUCUAUAAAUAUUCUGUGAUGUUUUAUUUUGAUGAGCACAUUAUUUGUUGCACAUUUGAUAAUGGCCUUAGCCAAAAGUUUUGGGAUUCAAAUUCUCAAGUAUUAACCAUUUGCAAUCCAAACUGUUUCAAACGUGUUUAGUAUUAACAUUCUUAUUAAUAUGUAAAACUACCAAAUGUAUUUUAAACCAGGCAAUUUUUCAUUGUAUUAUUUGUGAGACAAGGCAAAUUAGUUUUUUAUUUCCAAUUUUAAAAAGCACUGACAUUUUUUGUUAGCUUCACCAAGGUCCAAUUAUAUUAUGCACUUUUUAAUACUGUUAUAAACGAACAAUAUUGUCCUUUUUUUUUUAUGUUGCAAACUAAAGUUUUAGCUUGAAUGAGGUUUAAAUUUUCUUAUUGUUUUCCUUAGAGGAAAAUUUUUUACCAAAAUUUUUAAUGACGUUUUUUUUUAAAAACAUUUCAAUUAAGUUGCAGUAAAAAUUACUGAAAUAUAGCCUAUAAUUUUUGUCCAGAUAAACUUUUGAUUUUUGGUUAGAAACAUGGCUGCACAUUUGAAAACAUGCUUGCCAUUCAUCUCUCUUCCCCCCCUCCCCCUCCAUCUGUUCACUUGUGUUGAACAUUUGAACCUUUUUGAGAUAAAUUUAUUCUUGUGGAGAAAGUUUUAAUGUUUAAAAAAAUGUUGUGUACAAUGUCAGGCUUUACUAUGUAACAAAAUGACCAGUUAACCAGAUGUUUAGUUUAGCCUGACCAGUUAACCAGAUGUUUAGUUUAGCCUGACCAGUUAACCAGAUGUUUAGUUUAGCCACUCAUAUUUAAUCAGAGAAAUCCUUUUUUUUUGUCUGUAAAUAUUUGCUGUGAUUUUGUUUCUACUGUCAACAAAUGUAACCACAGUUUUGUUAUGAAAUUUUUAAACUAUGGAAAUAUCUAUACAAAUUUCUUUCAAACUUAGUCAUGUUACAUUUUUCUUGUACCCAUAUGCAGUUUAUCUAAAAGUUGAAUUUUUGUCCAUUAAGUGUGAAAAUUACAAAUUGGAAUGAUUGGGUUUAGAGAUUUAGUGGUGUGGUCAUUCAAUUCUGUCCAUUACAAAUUAGUUGAGUUACUUCCCUUGUUUCACCCCCUCCCAGCCCUUAGAACCGUCAUUGUUUUAUUUGAGGAAAAGUGAACUCAGGACACACACAUCAUGUUCAUGGACUUAACACAUGAACAGUUGUCAUGUGAACAUGAGCACAUGUUGACAGCCUGCCAACUGACUCCAUGUGUUCUUGUACUGACUCCAUGUGUUCUUGUACUGACUCCAUGUGUUCUUGUACUGACUUCAAAUGUGUGAUCUGAUGACAUUUUCUUGUAUUUCCAGUUACCUUUUCAAAGUGAACGUGUCAUUUUUAUUUUACUUGUAAACUGCAUGUGUUUUUUGUUGUUGUUUUUUUUUCAUUUUAAAAAAUUGCUUUAAAAUGUAGAUUAUUUAGCUUUGUUUUUAUUUUUCCACUUGAUAAAAAAAUCAUUUAAAAUCAAAACUACAAUCAUCCCAUCUUAAACCAAGAAGGCAUUUAGUCUGUUAUUUAUUGGUAGCAAUCAUUCCUUCUCUGUUGUGAUCUGGCAUUUAAAUUAGUCUAGAUGUAGCUCUCACUGAUUGGUUUUUAAAUUAUUGGUGUGGUUGUCAGAGGUGGUAUCCAGGACUAUUUGCACAACUUGUGUUGUCAGACGUGAUAUCUAGAGCUAUUUGCACAACUUGUGUUGUCAGACGUGAUAUCUAGAGCUAUUUGCACAACUUGUGUUGUCAGACGUGAUAUCUAGAGCUAUUUGCACAACUUGUGUUGUCAGACGUGAUAUCUAGAGCUAUUUGCACAACUUGUCAUAUAAGAUCUGCUAAUGACAGAGCUGACCAUUUUGUCCUAGGUUGUGCCAGCUGGAGGUUGUUUGACUUGCUAGUGUUUAAAGAGGGUGGUCAAUUGUCUACUCUCAUAUUGGAUGGAGUUUUAGAUGUGCUGUGAACAGAUUUCUCCUAAUUAAUUUGGCUACAAGCCAAAAUACAAUCAAUGUAACUUUUGUAUUGUGGCCAGUUUGUUAUGGUACAAUUGAUGUAACUUUUGUAUUGUGGCCAGUUUGUUAUGGUACAAUUGAUGUAACUUUUGUACUGUGGCCAGUUUGUUAUGGUACAAUUGAUGUAACUUUUGUAUUGUGGCCAGUUUGCUAUGGUACAAUUGAUGUAACUUUUGUACUGUGGCCAGUUUGUUAUGGUACAAUUGAUGUAACUUUUGUAUUGUGGCCAGUUUGCUAUGGUACAAUUGAUGUAACUUUUGUACUGUGGCCAGUUUGUUAUGGUACAAUUGAUGUAACUUUUGUACUGUGGCCAGUUUGUUAUGGUACAAUUGAUGUAACUUUUUGAUUAGGAGAUGACUGUCCUGUCAAAGAUAGGUUGACAAAACUAAGUGAUGUUUGACCCAAAUUGAUGUUAGCAGCAAUUGUUAAAUGUUAUCAAAGGAUGCAGAAAUAAAUUCAUAUUUUCAGACAA